This 497-nucleotide ribosomal RNA is filed under the name uncultured bacterium. RNAcentral describes it as "partial 16S ribosomal RNA". It matches the Rfam family "Bacterial small subunit ribosomal RNA", at positions 28 to 507 of the family's 1533-position model. The record is from RNAcentral.
GAUGAACGCUGGCGGCGUGCCUAAUACAUGCAAGUCGAGCGAACGCUUGGGAGGUUGCUCCCAAAAGUUAUCGGGGGACGCGGGAGUGACACGUGUGGAUCCUGCCCGUAAGAGUGGGGGAACUUCGGGAAACCGGAGUUAAUAACGGACAACAUUCAACACAACAUGGCCUUCAAUGAAAAGGCGGCUUUUAGCUACCUCUUACAGAUGGACCCGGGGCGAAUUAGCUAGUUGGUGAGGUAACGGCUAACCAAGGCGCCGAGGCGUAGCCGACCGGAGAGGUGGAUCGGCGACAUUGGAACUGAAACACGGCCCGAACCCCGACGGGAGGCAGCAGUGGGGAAUCUUCGACAAUGGAGGCAAUCCUGCGGAAGCAACCCCGGGUGGGUGAGGAAGGCUUUCGGUCGUUAAAGCCCGUUUUUUGGGAAAGAAAAGUAGCGGGCGAAUAGGGCGGUGCCUUGACGGUACCUAACCAGAAAGCCACGGCUAACUACGUG